GAAAAGAGGGCCAGGCACUUCCAGAGAUGAGUAGCUCAUCUUUGAAAUCUCUGCUUCUCUCCUCCGUUCAGGCAAAGGGGCUCUGAAGAGUCUGCAGGCUUUAGGUUGAUCUUCAGUCUCGAUGUCCUGGUUUUUCUCUGAGAACACCAGGAUGUGUAAGAUGAUCCAGACAGAAGCUGGAUACGGUCCCAGAAGAGAGAGCCUAGUGCCAGGUCUGUGCAUCUCAGCAAACUAAAGACUCUUGUCCUCAUCCCCUUGCCUACAGGGAUCUGCGCUCUACAUAUCUCAAAGCAUUUUGAGGCCACCUAGGAAAGGCUAUGUGGGAAGCAAGUGAGUUUCCUGGAGACAGUCCACCAUUUUACGUGGAUGUGACAGGUAAAGUCUGGAGAGGCCCAGCCCCAGAAACGUUGUCCCAGGAUGGCUUCUUACUUCUGAUAAACCUUUCUUCCUGGGCAUCAGCCCACCCUAUUGAGCAAAUUCGACCCUGCAGAUCAGCCUGAAGAUGAACUUUCAUGAAUGAAUGCUGCUUAGAUGAAUGGAUUACUUCCUGAUUUGAGUCUAAUGAUUUUAGGAAGAAUGUUUAAGGGGAUAGUUUUAGUUCUUUUGCCAGAAGAUGUAAUAAAGGUAGAAUCA
This 633-nucleotide long non-coding RNA is filed under the name Mus caroli (Ryukyu mouse). RNAcentral describes it as "predicted gene, 34068 (MGP_CAROLIEiJ_G0004582.1)". The record is from RNAcentral. Lineage: Eukaryota; Metazoa; Chordata; Mammalia; Rodentia; Muridae.